Molecule: small nucleolar RNA, 133 nt
Organism: Cyprinodon variegatus (sheepshead minnow)
Lineage: Eukaryota; Metazoa; Chordata; Actinopteri; Cyprinodontiformes; Cyprinodontidae
Source: Ensembl
AAGCUACACUCUGUGUCAGCAGUCCUUGAAGACGAUGAUCUGACUCAAUUUGAGCUUUGCUAUAGUGAGAUCCGUCUGCCUCCAAUAGAUGCUUCCCCUCAUGUGGGACUUAUGCUGGACAGACGGGAACAUU